This 298-nucleotide ribosomal RNA is filed under the name uncultured bacterium. Its description in RNAcentral is "partial 16S ribosomal RNA". It matches the Rfam family "Bacterial small subunit ribosomal RNA", at positions 333 to 629 of the family's 1533-position model. The record is from RNAcentral.
GCACACCUACGGGACGCAGCAGUGAGGAAUAUUGGUCAAUGGUCGGGAGACUGAACCAGCCAAGCCGCGUGAGGGAGGAAGGUACAGCGUAUCGUAAACCUCUUUUGUCAGGGAACAAAGGCGGGGACUAGUCCCCGGAUGAGGGUACCUGAAGAAAAAGCAUCGGCUAACUCCGUGCCAGCAGCCGCGGUAAUACGGAGGAUGCGAGCGUUAUCCGGAUUUAUUGGGUUUAAAGGGUGCGUAGGCGGAGUGUCAAGUCAGCGGUAAAAUUUCGGGGCUCAACCCCGUCGUGCCGUUG